This 88-nucleotide ribosomal RNA is filed under the name uncultured fungus. Its description in RNAcentral is "partial 5.8S ribosomal RNA". It matches the Rfam family "5.8S ribosomal RNA", at positions 70 to 154 of the family's 154-position model. Rfam says of the family: 5.8S ribosomal RNA (5.8S rRNA) is a component of the large subunit of the eukaryotic ribosome. The record is from RNAcentral. Lineage: Eukaryota; Fungi.
GAUUGCAGAAUUCAGUGAAUCAUCGAAUCUUUGAACGCACAUUGCGCCCCUUGGAUAUCCCGAGGGGCAUGCCUGUUCGAGCGUCAUU